UUAGGAAUUUUGCGCAAUGGACGAAAGUCUGACGCAGCAACGCCGCGUGAGUGAAGAAGGCCUUCGGGUUGUAAAGCUCUUUUAGCAGGGGCGAAAAAAAUGACGGUACCUGCAGAAAAAGCACCGGCUAACCCUGUGCCAGCAGCCGCGGUAAUACAGGGGGUGCAAGCGUUAUUCGGAAUUAUUGGGCGUAAAGAGCGCGUAGGCGGUUUGGUAAGUUUGGUGUGAAAUCCCUGGACUCAAUCCAGGAAGUGCAUUGAAUACUGCUAAACUAGAGUACUGGAGAGGAGAGUGGAAUUCCUGGUGUAGAGGUGAAAUUCGUAGAUAUCAGGAGGAACAACAGAAGCGAAGGCGGCUCUCUGGACAGUUACUGACGCUGAGGCGCGAAAGCGUGGGGAGCAAACAGG
This 407-nucleotide ribosomal RNA is filed under the name uncultured bacterium. Its description in RNAcentral is "bacterial SSU rRNA". It matches the Rfam family "Bacterial small subunit ribosomal RNA", at positions 355 to 776 of the family's 1533-position model. The record is from RNAcentral.